GCGCGUGCGCGCGCUGUGACGUUCCCUACGCGGUCGGGCGUUGGGUUUCGCGGCGCUCGCCGCACUGGUUGUUCAGCACCUUCGGUCCGGUUGAGGUUGUCAAGUCGGACCAAACAGGUUGUUUCUCUGCAGUUUCCAACAUGGCAGGGAGGUUUAAUAGACAUGGAUAAGAAGUCCACUCACAGAAAUCCUGAAGAUGCCAGGGCUGGCAAAUAUGAAGGUAAACACAAACGAAAGAAAAGAAGAAAGCAAAACCAAAACCAGCACCGAUCCCGACAUAGAUCAGUGACGUCUUUUUCUUCAGAUGAUCCUAUGUUUCCUUCUUCCUCAUCAUCGUCUUCAGGAAGCCAGACAGAUUCAAGUAUUGAAGAUGCUGCCAAGG
This 382-nucleotide long non-coding RNA is filed under the name Homo sapiens (human). RNAcentral describes it as "non-protein coding LINC00467:2". The record is from RNAcentral. Lineage: Eukaryota; Metazoa; Chordata; Mammalia; Primates; Hominidae.